RNAcentral lists this ribosomal RNA (1492 nucleotides) under Actinoplanes liguriensis. RNAcentral's name for it is "bacterial LSU rRNA". It matches the Rfam family "Bacterial large subunit ribosomal RNA", at positions 1451 to 2925 of the family's 2925-position model. The record is from RNAcentral. Lineage: Bacteria; Bacillati; Actinomycetota; Actinomycetes; Micromonosporales; Micromonosporaceae.
GUAGUAGUUUAGUGAUGGGGUGACGCAGGAAGGUAGAUGAUCCCGGCCGGUGGUUGUGCCGGGGUAAGCGUGUAGGCCGUACCGUAGGCAAAUCCGCGGUGCACAUAGGCUGAGACGUGAUGCCGAGCCGUUCUGGUGAAGUCAUUGAUCCUAUGCUGCCGAGAAAAGCCUCUAGCGAUGUUUCGAGCGGCCCGUACCCUAAACCGACACAGGUGGUCAGGUAGAGAAUACCGAGGCGACGGGUGAACUGUGGUUAAGGAACUCGGCAAAUUGCCCCCGUAACUUAGGGAGAAGGGGGGCCGGACGCGUGAAGCCACUUGCUGGUGGAGCGUGGUAUGGCCGCAGAGAGCAGGGGGAAGCGACUGUUUACUAAAAACACAGGUCCAUGCCAAGUCGUAAGACGAUGUAUAUGGACUGACGCCUGCCCGGUGCUGGAACGUUAAGGGGACCUGUUAGCGAGCAAUCGCGAGGCGGAGAACUUAAGCGCCAGUAAACGGCGGUGGUAACUAUAACCAUCCUAAGGUAGCGAAAUUCCUUGUCGGGUAAGUUCCGACCUGCACGAAUGGCGUAACGACUUCCCCACUGUCUCAACCACAGGCCCGGCGAAAUUGCAGUACGAGUAAAGAUGCUCGUUACGCGCGGCAGGACGGAAAGACCCCGGGACCUUUACUAUAGCUUGACAUUGGUAUCUGAAUUCGAUUGUGUAGGAUAGGUGGGAGACUGUGAAGCUCGGACGCCAGUUCGGGUGGAGUCAUUGUUGAAAUACCACUCUGUUGGGUUUGGGUAUCUAACUUGCGGCCCUGAUCGGGUCGAGGGACAGUGUCUGGUGGGUAGUUUAACUGGGGCGGUUGCCUCCUAAAGGGUAACGGAGGCGCCCAAAGGUUCCCUCAGCCUGGUUGGCAAUCAGGUGUUGAGUGUAAGUGCACAAGGGAGCUUGACUGUGAGACUGACGGGUCGAGCAGGGACGAAAGUCGGGACUAGUGAUCCGGCACUUGCGUGUGGAAGCGGUGUCGCUCAACGGAUAAAAGGUACCCCGGGGAUAACAGGCUGAUCUUCCCCAAGAGUCCAUAUCGACGGGAUGGUUUGGCACCUCGAUGUCGGCUCGUCGCAUCCUGGGGCUGUAGCAGGUCCCAAGGGUUGGGCUGUUCGCCCAUUAAAGCGGUACGCGAGCUGGGUUUAGAACGUCGUGAGACAGUUCGGUCCCUAUCCGCCGUGCGCGUUGGAUACUUGAGAAGGGCUGUCCCUAGUACGAGAGGACCGGGACGGACGAACCUCUGGUGUGCCAGUUGUUCCGCCAGGAGCAUGGCUGGUUGGCUACGUUCGGAAGGGAUAACCGCUGAAAGCAUCUAAGCGGGAAGCCUGCUUCGAGAUGAGGUAUCCCACCACCUUGAGUGGGUAAGGCUCCCAGCUAGACUACUGGGUUGAUAGGCCGGAGAUGUAAGCACGGUAACGUGUUGAGUUGACCGGUACUAAUAGGCCGAGGGCUUAACCA